Molecule: ribosomal RNA, 239 nt
Filed under: uncultured bacterium
Lineage: Bacteria
Description: partial 16S ribosomal RNA
Rfam family: Bacterial small subunit ribosomal RNA
Source: RNAcentral
GACGAACCGUCCGAACGCUAUUCGGAAUCACUGGGCUUAAAGGGUGCGUAGGCGGCGCGGAAAGUUGGGUGUGAAAUCCCUCGGCUCAACCGAGGAACUGCGCCCAAAACUACCGUGCUCGAGGGAGAUAGAGGUGAGCGGAACUUAGGGUGGAGCGGUGAAAUGCGUUGAUAUCCUAAGGAACACCGGUGGCGAAAGCGGCUCACUGGAUCUUUUCUGACGCUGAGGCACGAAAGCUA